RNAcentral lists this small nuclear RNA (107 nucleotides) under Microcebus murinus (gray mouse lemur). Lineage: Eukaryota; Metazoa; Chordata; Mammalia; Primates; Cheirogaleidae. The record is from RNAcentral.
AUGCUCGCUUUGGCAGCACAUAUACUAAAAUUGGAACAAUGUAGAGAAGAUUAUCAUGGCCCCUAUGCAAAGAUGACUAGCCAGUUGGUGAAGUGUUCCAUAUUAAA